GACGAACGCUGGCGGCGUGCUUAACACAUGCAAGUCGAACGGAAAGGCCCUGCUUUUGUGGGGUGCUCGAGUGGCGAACGGGUGAGUAAACCGUGAGUAACCUGCCCUUGACUUUGGGAUAACUUCAGGAAACUGGGGCUAAUACCGGAUAGGAGCUCCUGCUGCAUGGGGGGGUUGGAAAGUUUCGGCGGUUGGGGAUGGACUCGCGGCUUAUCAGCUUGUUGGUGGGGUAGUGGCUUACCAAGGCUUUGACGGGUAGCCGGCCUGAGAGGGUGACCGGCCACAUUGGGACUGAGAUACGGCCCAGACUCCUACGGGAGGCAGCAGUGGGGAAUAUUGCACAAUGGGCGGAAGCCUGAUGCAGCAACGCCGCGUGCGGGAUGACGGCCUUCGGGUUGUAAACCGCUUUCGCCUGUGACGAAGCGUGAGUGACGGUAAUGGGUAAAGAAGCACCGGCUAACUACGUG
RNAcentral lists this ribosomal RNA (467 nucleotides) under uncultured bacterium. RNAcentral describes it as "partial 16S ribosomal RNA". It matches the Rfam family "Bacterial small subunit ribosomal RNA", at positions 28 to 507 of the family's 1533-position model. The record is from RNAcentral.